GAUGAAGAACGCAGCGAAAUGCGAUAAGUAAUGUGAAUUGCAGAAUUCAGUGAAUCAUCGAAUCUUUGAACGCACCUUGCGCCCUUUGGCCAUUCCGAAGGGCAUGCCUGUUUGAGUAUCAUGAACACCUCAACUCUUCAAGGUUUUCCGUGAUGAGCUUGGACUUUGGGGGUCUUGCUGGCCUAUGGUCAGCUCCUCUAAAAUAAAUCAGCUUGCCAGUGUUUGGUGGGUAUCACAGGUGUGAUAACUAUCUACGCUUGUGGUUUUCCACCAGGUAACCUUCAGCAGUGGAGGUUCGCUGGAGCUCACAGAUGUGUCUCUCCUCAGUGAGGACAGCUCUUUGAAUGUUUGAUCUCAAAUCAGGUAGGACUACCCGCUGAACUUAAGCAUAUCAAUAAGCGGAGGA
This 406-nucleotide unclassified non-coding RNA is filed under the name soil metagenome. RNAcentral describes it as "partial contains 5.8S ribosomal RNA, internal transcribed spacer 2, and large subunit ribosomal RNA". The stretch from base 1 to 121 matches the Rfam family "5.8S ribosomal RNA", at positions 35 to 154 of the family's 154-position model. The record is from RNAcentral.